Molecule: ribosomal RNA, 253 nt
Filed under: uncultured bacterium
Lineage: Bacteria
Description: partial 16S ribosomal RNA
Rfam family: Bacterial small subunit ribosomal RNA
Source: RNAcentral
UACGUAGGGGGCAAGCGUUGUCCGGAAUCAUUGGGCGUAAAGAGCGUGUAGGCGGUUCGGUAAGUCGGCUGUGAAAGUCCAGGGCUCAACCCUGGGAUGCCGGUCGAUACUGCCGGACUAGAGUUCGGAAGAGGCGAGUGGAAUUCCCGGUGUAGCGGUGAAAUGCGCAGAUAUCGGGAGGAACACCUAUGGCGAAGGCAGCUCGCUGGGACGUUACUGACGCUGAGGAGCGAAAGCGUGGGUAGCAAACAGG